This 467-nucleotide ribosomal RNA is filed under the name uncultured bacterium. RNAcentral's name for it is "partial 16S ribosomal RNA". It matches the Rfam family "Bacterial small subunit ribosomal RNA", at positions 28 to 506 of the family's 1533-position model. The record is from RNAcentral.
GACGAACGCUGGCGGCGUGCUUAACACAUGCAAGUCGAACGGAAAGGCCCUGCUUUUGUGGGGUGCUCGAGUGGCGAACGGGUGAGUAACACGUGAGUAACCUGCCCUUGACUUUGGGAUAACUUCAGGAAACUGGGGCUAAUACCGGAUAGGAGCUCCUGCUGCAUGGUGGGGGUUGGAAAGUUUCGGCGGUUGGGGAUGGACUCGCGGCUUAUCAGCUUGUUGGUGGGGUAGUGGCUUACCAAGGCUUUGACGGGUAGCCGGCCUGAGAGGGUGACCGGCCACAUUGGGACUGAGAUACGGCCCAGACUCCUACGGGAGGCAGCAGUGGGGAAUAUUGCACAAUGGGCGGAAGCCUGAUGCAGCAACGUCGCGUGCGGGAUGACGGCCUUCGGGUUGUAAACCGCUUUCGCCUGUGACGAAGCGUGAGUGACGGUAAUGGGGAAAGAAGCACCGGCUAACUACGU